Molecule: ribosomal RNA, 549 nt
Filed under: uncultured Glomeromycotina
Lineage: Eukaryota; Fungi; Glomeromycota
Description: partial 18S small subunit ribosomal RNA
Rfam family: Eukaryotic small subunit ribosomal RNA
Source: RNAcentral
UUGGAGGGCAAGUCUKKUGCCAGCAGCCGCGKUAAUUCCAGCUCCAAUAGCGUAUAUUAAAGUUGUUGCAGUUAAAAAGSUSGUAGKUGRWRKRSUAGAUCAGUACGCUGGUCGUGCCUUCGGUAUGCACUGGWGUCACUGGUUUCUCCCUUCUGAAGAACCGUCAUGUCAUUAAGUUGGUGUGGCGGGGAAUCAGGACUGUUACUUUGAAAAAAUUAGAGUGUUUAAAGCAGGCUCGCGCUUGAAUACAUUAGCAUGGAAUAAUGAAAUAGGACGUUUGACCCUAUUUUGUUGGUUUCUAGGAUCGACGUAAUGAUUAAUAGGGAUAGUUGGGGGCAUUAGUAUUCAAUUGUCAGAGGUGAAAUUCUUGGAUWUAUUGAAGACUAAYUACUGCGAAAGCAUUUGCCAAGGAUGUUUUCAUUAAUCAAGAACGAAAGUUAGGGGAUCGAAGACGAUCAGAUACCGUCGUAGUCUUAACCAUAAASUAKGCCGACUAGGGAUCGGAUGAUGUUAAUUUUUUAAUGACUCAUUSGGCGCCUUACGGGAAAC